This 301-nucleotide ribosomal RNA is filed under the name uncultured bacterium. RNAcentral's name for it is "partial 16S ribosomal RNA". It matches the Rfam family "Bacterial small subunit ribosomal RNA", at positions 509 to 809 of the family's 1533-position model. The record is from RNAcentral.
CAGUAGCCACGGGAAUACGUAGGUGGCAGGCGUUGUCCGGAAUUAUUGGGCGUAAAGGGCUCGCAGGCGGUUUCUUAAGUCUGAUGUGAAAGCCCCCGGCUCAACCGGGGAGGGUCAUUGGAAACUGGGAAACUUGAGUGCAGAAGAGGAGAGUGGAAUUCCACGUGUAGCGGUGAAAUGCGUAGAGAUGUGGAGGAACACCAGUGGCGAAGGCGACUCUCUGGUCUGUAACUGACGCUGAGGAGCGAAAGCGUGGGGAGCGAACAGGAUUAGAUACCCGUGUAGUCCCUGUCUCUUAUAA